UGGGGUGUAGCUUGGUGGUAGAGCUCUUGCCUCGCAUGCAUGAGGCCCUGGAUUCAUCCCCAGCACCAUAC
RNAcentral lists this transfer RNA (71 nucleotides) under Ictidomys tridecemlineatus (thirteen-lined ground squirrel). RNAcentral describes it as "Spermophilus tridecemlineatus (thirteen-lined ground squirrel) tRNA". It matches the Rfam family "tRNA". From Rfam's summary of the family: Transfer RNA (tRNA) molecules are approximately 80 nucleotides in length. Their secondary structure includes four short double-helical elements and three loops (D, anti-codon, and T loops). Lineage: Eukaryota; Metazoa; Chordata; Mammalia; Rodentia; Sciuridae. The record is from Rfam by way of RNAcentral.